This 29-nucleotide unclassified non-coding RNA is filed under the name unclassified sequences. RNAcentral describes it as "Aptamer that binds to nuclear factor kappa-B P50". The record is from RNAcentral. RNAcentral also lists the same sequence under 1 other name.
CAUACUUGAAACUGUAAGGUUGGCGUAUG